GAUGAACGCUGUCUACAGGCUUAACACAUGCAAGUCGAGGGGAAACGACGGGGAAGCUUGCUUCCCCGGGCGUCGACCGGCGCACGGGUGAGUAACGCGUAUCCAACCUGCCUCUGACUGAGGGAUAACCCGUCGAAAGUCGGCCUAAUACCUCAUGGCAUCGUCUGCGGGCAUCCAACGACGAUUAAAGAUUUCAUCGGUCAGGGAUGGGGAUGCGUCUGAUUAGCUUGUUGGCGGGGUAACGGCCCACCAAGGCUACGAUCAGUAGGGGUUCUGAGAGGAAGGUCCCCCACAUUGGAACUGAGACACGGUCCAAACUCCUACGGGAGGCAGCAGUGAGGAAUAUUGGUCAAUGGGCGGGAGCCUGAACCAGCCAAGUAGCGUGCAGGAUGACGGCCCUAUGGGUGGUAAACUGCUUUUAGGCGGGGAUAAAGUGAGGGACGUGUCCUUCAUUGCAGGUACCGCAUGAAUAAGGACCGGCUAAUUCCGUG
Molecule: ribosomal RNA, 491 nt
Filed under: uncultured bacterium
Lineage: Bacteria
Description: partial 16S ribosomal RNA
Rfam family: Bacterial small subunit ribosomal RNA
Source: RNAcentral